GGUAGACUAGUGGGAUAACAUGUUUAUCAACAAUGAAGCUCUAAAAUAGUUUAUAAGUCUACUUGUAUAUGCAUGCAUGCAAGGGGAUAUGUGUUGAGCCCAUAUAUGUUCGACUUUGUGCAUGCUUUUAGUAUUAAAAAAUUCUUCCAGGUUUCACCUAAAACAGUACACAUUUUAGUUCAUAACAAGAUUUUUUUUCUAGCGGAAAUCCUUGAUUCUUCAGUUAUUAUUUGUUACAAUACAUAAUAUACUACACCAUCCUAUUAUUUACUUUCAGCUUCUUAGUUUUUUACCGUGAUGCAUGGCCACCUCUAUAUCAUAUCCAGUGCCAUGCAUCCUUGUUUUACUUUCACACACGCUAAUAAGCUAUGCAUAUACCUUGAUGCAUGGUCCGACCAAUUUCAGUGGGUUUUAUUCAAAGGUAUUCCCAAGCUCUUCCACCUAUGAUGCGGUAAAGUGGUGGUAGACUAGUAGGAUAACAUGUUCGUUGACAGUGAAGCACUUGGAUAGCUUAUAGGUUUAGUAUGCGCAUGCAAAUGGAGUAUUUGUUGCGACGAGCCUAUAAGUGCCGUGUGAGUCUUUCUAAAACUGCAGAUAACCCUCCCUAUUAUUUGGAUAUUCUCAAUCCGGUCCAAACCCUUCACUUUUGCACUUGUAACCCUGAACCUUGUCUUUUCUCGAAGACUAUUUCCUGUGUCUUGAGAACUUGUCUACCUACCUCUUCACAUAUAUGAUCAAUUACAUAUGAACCUUGAAUCAAUCGGCUUGCAUUGUUUUUAUUUCAAUGUGAUGCAAAUUUAUUCAUAUCCGGGAAUAAAUGAUGCGGCUCAAAUCAUGUUAUCAUCGGAAUAUUAUGUUAUGUUUAUUGGAUAAGGCGAGUGUGAGGAUUUUUUCCAUUUGGACACGAUUUGAACCUCGACGGUGGCGCCUUCCAUUUCUGGUUGGUGCUUUCAAGCACUGGAUGUGAAUGGCUGCCUCUGGUAGUUGUGUGCAAAGUGGGGCUGAUGGAAUGGAAUUUAUAAGCAAUGCAAGUGUCGUAGUCCUUACAAAGAGAACAAGUACUACAGCCUCCAGGAGCGCAAUAAAAUGCAUCAAUAUUUAAUUUUAUGUACUGCACGUAAACUGGUAAAAAGAUUUACGAAUCUCAGGAAGGAUGGAACCAACUUUAGCAAAGCAGUCGAAAUGGAGUAGAUUAGACCUGAGCAAAUGAAUCCCAGUCCAGUCCGGCCCGGGCCGAGCCCACCAGGCUAAGCUCAGCCCGAUCUCCAUAGGGCUGGGCGUGGUGCUGAUUUUUUGCCAAAUAAUGGACGGCCUCAGUCUAGCAUGAUUAUUUAUUUCAAUUAUUAUUACACGUAAAAAUAGUGGGCGGCUUGACCAGAGCCCAAGCCGAAAAUUGUGGCCCGAUGCCUCUCGUGGGCGGGCAUGUGCGUGAUUUUUCAGUCUGAAACAAACUGGAUUUGGAUUUUGUCUCAGUUAAAAUUGGCACAUAUGGCCAAACCGGGCUGAGCGGGUUGAUUAAACAGAUUAGACUGGUUUGGGUAAAUUUUGUAAAAAAAAAUACAAAUUGGACUUCGGCAUUGCAUAGAUUCCGUCGAGAUAAUCAAAAUGCAUUUUGUAGAAUGUCGAACAAUUUGGAGUGAGGGAGUUAUGACUUUGCAAAGAUCUUCUAUCCGAAAUUGCGAAGCAUUUAAUUGAUAAAGAGGAUAUGUAGAUCCGGUUCCUAUUAUUUGAAAGUCGGCUAUUAAAAAUUCAGCUAAUAUUAAUGUUGGUGAUGAAUUAAUAACUGAUCCUUGUACAAAUACGGCAACAAUGGUAUUAUUUGUUAAGAUCCAAUUAUAUUCAGCUAUCUCAAACGGAGAAUGUGUUGAUACAAAAUCCUCAAGUAUGAGUAUUGAAGCAGUAUCUAGUUAUUCCAUGCUCGGGGCCAACCUGCCUUUUGGAGACAGAGCCAUCUUUUUUAUUUUUUGAUCCUUUUUUGAAAGAUUCUCACAAAUACGCCCCUGGCGGAACCAUUUCAAAAUUUGGACCCUUAGUUUGGCGCCAUCCACGCUGGUGCCAAGCUUACACGUCUCGGGCGCUAGCCAUCCUAGCGCCCAAGGCCCAUACGUAGCUGCUGACGCGGAUGCCGAUGUGGCCGGGNNNNNNNNNNNNNNNNNNNNNNNNNNNNNNNNNNNNNNNNNNNNNNNNNNNNNNNNNNNNNNNNNNNNNNNNNNNNNNNNNNNNNNNNNNNNNNNNNNNNCAUCUUAGCGCAGAGCGAUUUACCGUACCUCUUCCCCAUUUUCGACCGAAACCAAGUAUAAUUAUUCCAAGGAGUGUGCAACAAACUAUGUUGCGGUUCAACUGGUUAGGACGUGGGCUUCUUAUCUCAGAGACAUCCGCGUCAGCAGCUGCGCAUGGACCUUGGCGCUAGGAUGGCUGGUGCCGAGACGUGUAAGCUUGGCACUAGCGUGGAUGGCGCCAAGCUAAGGGUCCAGAUUUUCAAAUGGUUCCGCCAGAAGCGUAUUUGUGAGAAUCUUUCAAAAAAGGGUAAAAAAAAAAGAGACAGAGGGCCAGAGGGGAUGGAUGUCCUUGAUUUCGAUACAGUGUCUUUUGCUUAAUUUUGUGGCCCACAUAGCAAUAGGCCCACUCACCAAGCCCAGCCCAAUUUGGAACCUCUUGGACCUGUCCUCUGGCGGUCGGGCCAGGCGCCUUCCCCCCUGCUGGAAAGAAGACGACCUUGUUGCGUCUUGAAGGUCUAGGCAAGGAUGAUGCAUAUAUAAUCACUAGGCUUUAUAGCUUAAGUUUUGCAUAAAAGUAGAAAUAAUAUUACUAACAAGAACGUUAUUUUACGAAUUCCGAAUGAUUGAAAAAUUGAACACAAUUUCCGGGAUCAUUAAGCUAUCUAUUUAGUAGACAAGAACGUGCCCAUAUAGUAUUUUUAACACUAACAGAAACAUUACCCAUCAGUAAGGAGAAAGCAUGCGAAUAUCUUAUAUGAACCGAUUGAUUUCAGCCAGCCCAUGGUUUUAUUGAAAGAUAUUUUUAGGCUCUGCCACAACUGCAUGUGCCAUGGUGGUAAUAGACUAGUAGGAUAACAUAAUAUAACAUGUUCCUUGACAAUAAAUCAUUAAGAUAGUUUAUAAGUCUACCAGUACAUGCGUGAAAGGGGAUAUGUGUUGAGACUAUAUGUGUUCAAGUUUAUGUAUAUGUUUUUUAGGUUUAAAGAAAUUCUUCCAGAUUUCACCUAAAACACGUCGUAAUUCAUAAGAAGAUAUUUUUAAAAAAAUUUGCAAGCAUAAAUCCUUAACUAUUCACUUAUUAUCUGUUAUUACAAUACAUAAUAUACUACACCAUUCCAUUAUUUGCUUUCAACUUCUUAGUUUUUACCUUGAUGCAUGGGCACCUGUACCAUAACCAUAACCAGUGCCAUGCAUACUUGUUUUACUUUUACACAAGCUAUGCACCUUGAUGCAUGGUCCGACCGAUUUUAGUGGGUUUUAUUCAAAGGUAUCCUUAUGCUCUUCCACGCAUGAUGCGUCAAAGUGGUGGUAGAAUAGUAGGAUAACAUAUUCCUGUGAAGUACUUGGAUAGUUUAUAGGUUUAGCAUGCGCAUGCAAAUGGAGUACGAUGUUGCUACAAGCUUAGGAGUAUGAGUGUAGUGUGAGUUUGUGCGUGCUUUUAGGUUGAUUUUUUUUCCUUUUAGGCUUCACCUAAUAAAACACAUAAUAAGAAGAUAUUUUAUAAAUAUUUUUGCAAGCUAAAAUCUUGAUUUUUUCAGUUUUUAUUUGUUAAAGUACAUAUAAUAUAAUAAACCAUUCCCCUAUUUGCUUUCAGCUUUUUAGUUUCUACCUUGAUGCAUGUAUGGGCACCUGUAUCAUAACCAGUGCCAUGCAUAUAUGCUUGUUUUACUUUUACACAAGCUAUGCAUAUACCUUGAAUCCUUGAUGCAUGAUCCGAAUGAUUUCAGUGGGUUUUGUUCAAAAGUAUCCCUAGGCUCUUCCAAUGCAUGAUGCACCAAAGUGGUGGUAGACUAGUAGGAUAACAGCAUGUUUCUCGACAGUGAAGCACUUGGAUAGCUUAUAGGUUUAGUAUGC
Molecule: long non-coding RNA, 4073 nt
Filed under: Setaria italica (foxtail millet)
Lineage: Eukaryota; Viridiplantae; Streptophyta; Magnoliopsida; Poales; Poaceae
Description: long non-coding RNA (SITA_LNC004386)
Source: RNAcentral